RNAcentral lists this long non-coding RNA (863 nucleotides) under Arabidopsis lyrata. RNAcentral describes it as "long non-coding RNA (ALYR_LNC001045)". Lineage: Eukaryota; Viridiplantae; Streptophyta; Magnoliopsida; Brassicales; Brassicaceae. The record is from RNAcentral.
GUAUUUAUUACUUUUUUGGAUAAAUUGACAUUAAAAAUAUCAUAUUAUAUGAAUCUUAAUAUAAAAAAUUAUAUUACAAAGUAAAAAUACAGAAUUAAAAAGUGAAAGUACAUAUUAAAGAUUGAUCAAUAGAACUCUUGUACUUUAAACACACGAAUUGAAACCAAACUGUGUAUACGAUUUAGCUUUAGUCAAUUGGAUCAAAUUGGUUUUCUGGAUACGGGCCGAGUGGUGCAAAUGAGGCCCAGUUAGCUUCACGAUCAUCUGCUAUGCGUUUUGACGAUCACACUCUUGUGUGAUUCUUAGGUCACGAGAAAGUAAGAGAUUCCCUCUACAACUGCUACCGUGCGUCUUUCUUCCUCUCAAACUUAAAACCUGCAAAAGUACCAAACUAUUAGCAACAAGAUCUGAGAAAUACACAUAGAUCCAAGCUUAAUCUGACCUUAAUAUGCUACACAAACACACAUAAGAACAUCAAUCGAGACUCUCCCAUAUAAACGAAGUCAAAGAAAAUCAAGCGAAGGUAUCAAGCUCUCGUGGGAUUCCAAACUCGAAACUAAUUUGAUACUCGAUUCAAUUAAAGUAUUGGAUAAAAAAAUUUCAGGCCACACAAAGAAGACUUGUUAGCCAAAUUCCCAAUGAAAUGCUAAAUUACAUACAAUUCGACACUGAAUCUCCAAAUCAGCAAAGAGGAAGUGGAGGAGAACUCACGCGAAGGCUCGAACAAAAGAUUUGCCCUUUCCAUCGCCGCAAGCCACUUCUUAAUUCCUUGAUCAGAUCUCUUCUAUCUGCAACAAAUCCCUACUAUUUUAAGAAUCCAGAAAUCUAGAGUGAUAGAGAGAGAAGAUAUGGUGAAAAGAAAC